RNAcentral lists this ribosomal RNA (254 nucleotides) under uncultured bacterium. Its description in RNAcentral is "partial 16S ribosomal RNA". It matches the Rfam family "Bacterial small subunit ribosomal RNA", at positions 524 to 776 of the family's 1533-position model. The record is from RNAcentral.
CACGUAGGGGGCGAGCGUUGUCCGGAAUCAUUGGGCGUAAAGAGCUCGUAGGCGGCUCGGUAAGUCGGGUGUGAAACCCCCAGGCUCAACCUGGGGACGCCACCCGAUACUGCUGUGGCUAGAGUCCAGUAGGGGAGUGUGGAAUUCCCGGUGUAGCGGUGAAAUGCGCAGAUAUCGGGAGGAACACCAAUAGCGAAGGCAGCUCGCUGGGACGUUACUGACACUGAGGCGCGAAAGCGUGGGGAGCAAACAGG